Molecule: ribosomal RNA, 519 nt
Filed under: Lacerta viridis meridionalis
Lineage: Eukaryota; Metazoa; Chordata; Lepidosauria; Squamata; Lacertidae
Description: partial 16S ribosomal RNA
Rfam family: Bacterial large subunit ribosomal RNA
Source: RNAcentral
GGUCCCGCCUGCCCAGUGACUCUUUAAACGGCCGCGGUAUCCUAACCGUGCAAAGGUAGCAUAAUCACUUGUCCCCUAAAUAGGGACUGGUAUGAAUGGCUAAAUGAGGACUAAACUGUCUCUUGCGGACUGGCCAAUGAAAUUGAUUUUCCAGUACAAAAGCUGGAAUGUACCCAUAAGACGAGAAGACCCUGUGGAGCUUCAAAACCAAAUCACCCAGCAUGUUCAUUGGAUUUUUAGUUGGGGCGACUUCGGAAUAUAAUAAAACUUCCAAAAUAAAUUAAUUUCAUCAAGGUUAACACACCAAAAUUUCUUUAUAGAUCCAGCAAAUAAUUUUAUUUAUCUGAUCAAUGAACCAAGUUACCCCAGGGAUAACAGCGCAAUCUCCUUUUAGAGUCCAUAUCGACAAGGGGGUUUACGACCUCGAUGUUGGAUCAGGACACCCCAAUGGUGCAGCCGCCAUUAAAGGUUCGUUUGUUCAACGAUUAACAGUCCUACGUGAUCUGAGUUCAGACCGGA